CUGGCUAGAUGUAGAAUUCAAUAGGACACACAUAUAAAAAAAUUGAUCAUGAACCCAUUUGAUAUGAUUGAUUGGAGUUUUGGAUCCAAUCAAAUUCUCGAUAAGCAUGCUAGCAUAUGUGAAAACCCUAGCUCCUUGAAUCGUAUUUGAUUUAGUUUGAAUCUUGUUGAUUGAUCAAACCAAAUUGAGCCUACAGUCAAAUAGGAUUUGGAUCAGAUGUUGGUAGCUACUAGAUGGUGCCACAUUGCCUUGGAAUGCCAAAUGCAAAGAG
RNAcentral lists this long non-coding RNA (271 nucleotides) under Elaeis guineensis (African oil palm). Its description in RNAcentral is "long non-coding RNA (EGUI_LNC054262)". The record is from RNAcentral. Lineage: Eukaryota; Viridiplantae; Streptophyta; Magnoliopsida; Arecales; Arecaceae.